RNA transcript from Gadus morhua (Atlantic cod), 4702 nucleotides. It is a transcript of the gene named eukaryotic translation initiation factor 3, subunit 10 (theta), with no coding region annotated. NCBI's taxonomy places the organism in Eukaryota, Metazoa, Chordata, Actinopteri, Gadiformes, Gadidae. The transcript is spliced from 23 exons. The record is from RefSeq and is a predicted model, not a curated record.
ACCCUAGCUAGGCCGUUCACGAGGUUUUUCCUUUCUCGACUCCGUGUUGAAGCGGGUUACUGCCUGGCCCGGAUGGACUGGUGAAAUUGGUAAAAUUCACCCAAGUCAGCCGAUCCUAAGUUUCGCUAAUACGCCACCGAAAUGCCGGCCUAUUUUCAACGCCCGGAGAAUGCUCUCAAACGAGCAAACGAGUUCUUGGAGGUUGGCAAGAAGCAGCCAGCCUUGGAUGUUCUCUACGAUGUCAUCAAAAGCAAGAAGCAUCGAACAUGGCAGAAGAUCCACGAGCCCAUCAUGCUCAAGUACCUGGAGCUCUGCGUGGAUCUCCGCAAGAGCCACCUGGCGAAAGAGGGCCUGUACCAGUACAAGAACAUCUGCCAGCAGGUGAACAUCAAGUCUCUUGAGGAUGUGGUUAGGGCGUACCUGAAGCUCGCCGAGGAGAAGACUGAGACCGCCAAGGGGGAGUCCCAGCAGAUGGUUCUGGACAUCGAGGACCUGGACAACAUCCAGACCCCCGAGAGUGUGCUCCUGAGUGCGGUCAGUGGAGAGGACACCCAGGACCGUACCGACCGUCUGCUGCUCACCCCCUGGGUGAAGUUCCUGUGGGAGUCCUACAGGCAGUGUCUGGAUCUGCUGAGGAACAACUCCAAGGUGGAGCGCCUCUACCAUGACAUCGCCCAGCAAGCCUUCAAGUUCUGCCUGCAGUACACCCGCAAGGCUGAGUUCCGCAAGCUCUGCGACAACCUGCGCAUGCACCUGGGCCAGAUCCAGCGCCACCACAACCAGAGCACCGCCAUCAACCUCAACAACCCCGAGAGCCAGUCCAUGCACCUGGAGACCCGUCUGGUCCAGCUCGACAGCGCCAUCAGCAUGGAGCUGUGGCAGGAGGCCUUCAAGGCUGUGGAGGACAUCCACGGGCUCUUUGCUCUCUCCAAGAAGCCCCCAAAGCCCCAGCUGAUGGCCAACUACUACAACAAGGUGUCCACUGUCUUCUGGAAGUCGGGAAACGCUCUCUUCCACGCCUGCACCCUCCACCGCCUCUACCACCUCUCCCGGGAGAUGCGCAAGAAUCUCACCCAAGAGGAGAUGCAGAGGAUGUCCACCAGAGUCCUGCUGGCCACGCUGUCCAUCCCCAUCACCCCCGAGCGCACCGACAUCGCCCGGCUGCUGGACAUGGACGGCAUCAUCGUGGAGAAACACCGGCGUCUGGCCACCCUGCUGGGGCUGCAGUCCCCCCCCACCCGCCAGAGCCUCAUCAACGACAUGGUGCGGUUCAACCUGCUGCAGUACAUCCUACCAGAGGUCAAAGAGCUGUACAACUGGCUGGAGAUGGACUUCCACCCCCUGAAGCUGAGCGGAAGAGUCACCAAGGUGUUAGACUGGGUGAGGGACCAGGCCGAGAAGGAGUCGGACCUGCAGCAGUAUGUUCCUCAUCUGCAGAGUAACACCAUCCUCCGGCUCUUGCAGCAGGUGGCCCAGAUCUACCAGAGCAUCGAGUUCAGCCGCCUGGCCUCCCUGGUCCCCUUCGUGGACGCCUUCCAGCUGGAGCGCUCCAUCGUGGACGCCGCCCGCCACUGUGACCUGCAGGUUCGUAUCGACCACUCCACUCGAACUCUGCGCUUCGGGUCGGACCUGAACUACUCGACCAAAGAGGACUCCCCGGUCGGGCCCUUCCUGCAGAACAUGCCCUCGGCGCAGAUCCGGAACCAGCUCACCGCCAUGUCCUCCUCGCUAGCCAAGGCCAUCCAGAUCAUCAGGCCUGCCUCCAUCCUGACGGAGCGCGAGGAGCAGAGCCAGCUGGCCAUCGCCGCCUACCUGAAGAACGGCCGCAAGGACCACCAGCGCAUCCUGGCCCGCCGGCAGACCAUCGAGGAGCGCAAGGAGCGCCUGGAGAGCCUGAACAUCCAGAGGGAGAAGGAGGAGCUGGAGCAGCGCGAGGCGGAGCAGCAGAAGGUGCGCAAGGCGGAGGAGGAGCGCCUGCGGCAGGAGGCCAAGGAGCGCGAGAAGGAGCGCAUCAUGCAGGAGCACGAGCAGAUCAAGAAGAAGACGGUGCGGGAGCGCCUGGAGCAGAUCAAGAAGACGGAGCUGGGAGCCAAGGCCUUCAAGGACAUCGACAUCGAGGAUCUGGAGGAGCUGGACCCCGACUUCAUCAUGGCCAAGCAGGUGGAGCAGCUGGAGAAGGAGAAGAGGGAGCUGCAGGAGCGUCUGAAGAACCAGGAGAAGAAGAUCGACUACUUUGAGCGGGCCAAGCGACUGGAGGAGAUCCCCCUCAUCAAGCAGGCCUACGAAGAGCAGCGCAUCAAGGACAUGGAGCUGUGGGAGCUGCAGGAGGAGGAGCGGAUCAGCAACAUGAAGGUGGAGCGGGAGAAGGCUCUGGAGCACAAGCAGCGCAUGUCCAGGAUGAUGGAGGACAAGGAGAACUUUGUGUCCAAGAUCACCGCAGCACGCAGCUUCAUCUACGAGGAAAAACUCGCGGCAUUCCAGGAGCGCGUGGUGGAUGAGAAGAAGAAGCGGCUGGAAGACCGGAAGCGGCAACGCAAGGACGACCGCCGCACCGCCUACUACCGGCAGAAGGAGGAGGAGGCCCAGCGCAUCCACGAGGAGUCUCUGAAGAAAGAACGGGAGGAGCUUGAGCGCAUCGAGCAGGAGCAGCGCGAGGAGGAGGAGCGCGAGUACCAGGAGAAGCUGCAGAAGCUGGAGGAGCAGGAGAGGAAGCAGCGCGCUCGCCAGCAGGAGAUCGAGGAGCGGGAGAGCCGGCGCGAGGAGGAGCGCCGCGUUCCGGAGGAGAAGCCCGCCACCAAGCAGGACUGGGGUGACAAAGAGGAGAGCGCCAGCACGGCCGCCGGCGGUGGUGGCGGCGGCGGAGGAUGGAGGAAGCGCACGGAGGCGGCGGGCGGCGGCGGCGGGGGCGGAGACUCGGAGUGGCGCCGAGGGGCCCCUGACAGGGAGAGGAAGCCGGAGGGCCGUGACGAGGAGCGGGAGGACCGCCCCCUGCGCCGCGCCGCCGCUGACGACCGCGGGCUGCGCCGCGCCUUCGACGACGAGCGGACGAUGCGCCGCGGCGCCGACGAGGAGCGGGCGCCGCCGCCGCGCAGGGCGGUGGACGAGGAGCGCGGGCCCUGGAGGGCCGCGGCCGCGGCGGAGGAGGACCGCCCCGCCAGGAGGGCCUUCGACGACGACCGCCCCCCCCGCCGGGGGGCCUUCGAGGACGACCGGGGCCCCCCCCGCCGCGGAGCCGAGGACUCCAGGCCCCGCCGGGAUGACGACUGGGGCCCCCGCAGGGGCGCCGACGAGGAGCGGGGCGGCAGGAGGGGCGGGGACGACGGGCCGCGGCGGGGCGCGGACGACGGCACGCCCUGGAAGCCCCUGGGGAAACCUGUUGUACCAUCAGGAGGAGGCUGGCGGGAGCGGGAGAAGGCCCGGGAGGAGAGCUGGGGACCGCCGCGCGACGGUGGCGCUGACGACACCGCGGAGGCUGAGGAGAAGCCCAGAGAGCGCCGCCCACCUCCACCAAGAGAGGAGGCCAGUGCCUGGAGGAGGGGGGGCACGGAGGAGACCAGCAGCUGGAGGGGCCGCACCGAGGAGCCGGAGCGCGAGGAACGCCAGGAACGCCGCGUCAUCGAGCCACGCCGCGAUGAGCCGCGCCGGGAGCGCGAGACGAGGCCGGCGCCCAGAGACGACGAAGGGAGCCUGUGGCGGCGCGGCGGAGACGACAAGCGGGAGGAGCGCGAGAAGCCCAGGGAGCGCGAGGUGGUGCGAGAGGCCGAGGGGGAGAAGGCGGCCUGGCGUAGCAGCGCCGCGCCGGCCGCCGCCGUCGCCCCGGCCGCCGCCGCCGCUCCUGCCGCCGUCGCCGCCCCCGCUGCCGCUGCGCCCCCCCCCGCCGAGAAGGAGCCCCAGCGCCCCGUCAAGAAGGAAGAGGCCCCCGAGGACGAUGACGGCUGGACCACCGUCCGCCGCUGAGCCACUGAGCCACAGGGCGGCCGGUCGCUGCUCACAGACGACCCCCCCUGGCCCCCCCGGGGCCCCCCGUGGACCCCAGGGGCCCGCGGGCACACUGGUGGCAAAGCUUUUGUACAACCCCAUUCUCAUUAUGAUUACUUUGAGUGGUACAAUUAUUAUAGGCAUUAGUAAUUCCAGAUGUUUUUCUUUGAUUUCUCUCUCAAUAUAUAUAUCUAUAAAUAUAUAUAUAUAUAUAAUAAGCAGAUGAUGAAGAGUGCAAGUUUCAGCUUUCCUGUGAGGAUAUGGUUGUGCAACCCGCCAUUACAUCAGUUGCUUCACCUGUGAGUUUGUAGCUGAGUGGCCAAUCUUGUCUGUGGCUGACUGCCCCCGGUGUGUUGGAGUGUCAUUGCGCAGAAUGAUUAUUUAAUUGGAUCAAAAUACACCACACAUCGAAAUUGCAUUGUACCUCUAUAAUGGUUUAACUUGUUUCCACUAUGGACCUGUUACAACUGUGGACUUGUAGUACCUUUCUGGUGAUGGAAUAAAUACAACGCCAAGUUUCUAAUCUGAAUUAGUAUAUUGCCUUGUCAUCUUGUGAACUUCAUAAACUCUUUAACUGGGAUUUCCAUUUUGAUGUGCAUGGUUAGACUAUAAAAUAACUCUCCAAAUCCGUGGAUUGGUUCAAUCUUGUAGCAUUCAACUGUAUGACAAGAGAUUGAAUGUGUACAUGAUGAAGCCUUUAUUAAUAAAGCGGUUUGCUCACCAA